RNAcentral lists this ribosomal RNA (521 nucleotides) under uncultured bacterium. RNAcentral describes it as "bacterial SSU rRNA". It matches the Rfam family "Bacterial small subunit ribosomal RNA", at positions 771 to 1302 of the family's 1533-position model. The record is from RNAcentral.
AGCGAAUAGAUACCCAGGUAGUCCACGCCGUAAACGAUGGAUACUAGCUGUUCGGAGCAAAUCUGAGUGGCUAAAGCGAAAGUGAUAAGUAUCCCACCUGGGGAGUACGCACGCAAGUGUGAAACUCAAAGGAAUUGACGGGGGCCCGCACAAGCGGUGGAGCAUGUGGUUUAAUUCGAUGAUACGCGAGGAACCUUACCAGGGCUUAAAUGUAGAUUGACAGGACUGGAAACAGUUUUUCUUCGGACAAUUUACAAGGUGCUGCAUGGUUGUCGUCAGCUCGUGCCGUGAGGUGUCAGGUUAAGUCCUAUAACGAGCGCAACCCUGUCGUUAGUUGCCAGCGAGUCAUGUCGGGAACUCUAACGAGACUGCCAGUGUAAACUGUGAGGAAGGUGGGGAUGACGUCAAAUCAUCACGGCCCUUACGUCCUGGGCCACACACGUGCUACAAUGGUAGGUACAGAGAGCAGCCACUGCGCGAGCAGGAGCGAAUCUACAAAACCUAUCUCAGUUCGGAUCGGA